This 249-nucleotide ribosomal RNA is filed under the name Hyalomma anatolicum. RNAcentral's name for it is "partial large subunit ribosomal RNA". The record is from RNAcentral. RNAcentral also lists the same sequence under 1 other name. Lineage: Eukaryota; Metazoa; Arthropoda; Arachnida; Ixodida; Ixodidae.
AAUGCUAAAAGAAUGGAAAUUUAAAAAAAAACUUUUUUAAAAAUAAAAAUUGAAUUUUUUUUAAUUUGUGCAAAAACAAUUAUUAUUAUUAAAGACAAGAAGACCCUAAGAAUUUAUGAUUUUGUAAUUAAAAAAAUUUUUUUUAAAAAAUCUUGAUUGGGGCGAUCAAAAAAUAUUAAUAACUUUUUAAAUUUAAAUUGAUCUAUUAUUAAUAAACUAAUGAAUUAAAUACUCUAGGGAUAACAGCGU